Molecule: ribosomal RNA, 253 nt
Filed under: uncultured bacterium
Lineage: Bacteria
Description: partial 16S ribosomal RNA
Rfam family: Bacterial small subunit ribosomal RNA
Source: RNAcentral
UACGUAGGGUGCAAGCGUUAAUCGGAAUUACUGGGCGUAAAGCGUGCGUAGGCGGUUUUGUAAGUCUGUCGUGAAAUCCCCGGGCUCAACCUGGGAAUUGCGAUGGAGACUGCAAGGCUAGAAUCUGGCAGAGGGGGGUAGAAUUCCACGUGUAGCAGUGAAAUGCGUAGAGAUGUGGAGGAACACCGAUGGCGAAGGCAGCCCCCUGGGUCAAGAUUGACGCUCAUGCACGAAAGCGUGGGGAGCAAACAGG